AUUGGGGAAUCUUCCGCAAUGGGCGAAAGCCUGACGGAGCAACGCCGCGUGCGGGAUGAAGGCCUUCGGGUUGUAAACCGCUGUCAGUGGGGAGGAAAUGCAUAAGGGUUCUCUCUUAUGUUUGACCGAUCUUCAGAGGAAGUCCGGGCUAAGUUCGUGCCAGCAGCCGCGGUAAGACGAACCGGACGAACGUUAUUCGGAAUCACUGGGCUUAAAGAGUGCGUAGGCGGCUUUGUAGGUUGGGUGUGAAAUCCCACGGCUCAACCGUGGAACUGCGCUCAAAACCACAAGGCUUGAGGGAGACAGGGGUGAGCGGAACUGAUGGUGGAGCGGUGAAAUGCGUUGAUAUCAUCAGGAACACCGGUGGCGAAGGCGGCUCACUGGGUCUCUUCUGACGCUGAGGCACGAAAGCUAGGGUAGCGAAAGGGAUUAGAUACCCCUGUAGUCAAU
This 450-nucleotide ribosomal RNA is filed under the name uncultured bacterium. RNAcentral's name for it is "bacterial SSU rRNA". It matches the Rfam family "Bacterial small subunit ribosomal RNA", at positions 353 to 798 of the family's 1533-position model. The record is from RNAcentral.